UGACCUCGGAUCAGGUAGGGAUACCCGCUGAACUUAAGCAUAUCAAUAAGCGGAGGAAAAGAAACCAACAGGGAUUGCCUCAGUAACGGCGAGUGAAGCGGCAAGAGCUCAAAUU
Molecule: ribosomal RNA, 115 nt
Filed under: Penicillium sp. FF41
Lineage: Eukaryota; Fungi; Ascomycota; Eurotiomycetes; Eurotiales; Aspergillaceae
Description: partial 28S ribosomal RNA
Rfam family: Eukaryotic large subunit ribosomal RNA
Source: RNAcentral